CAGAGAGAGAGAGAGAGAGAGUUGGUGGUUGUGCCGCCCUAAGCCUCCAGUCAGCCAGUGUGAGGAAGGGACCAGAUGGGUUGGGCAGAAAGGUGCUGGGUCAAGGGAGGAAGGGGAAGCCGGAGGCGCGCGCACGCUCUGGACUCGUGCACCCGCCAAAACGGCUGCGCGCGGGGCACGCCGGGUUGAGCGGCGAGGGGCGACCCGGACUGGGACAGGGAUGCGGGCAGCCCUUUCCCAGGCGGUAGCGGGGCGGUGGUGCUGUUGCCCUUUUAAACUAUGGCUUGACAGGAGCCGCGCCUCCCGUCGGUGGAGUCGGUUACAAUGGGAGCAGCUCCACAGGCCUCCACACAGCUCCUGCCAAGGCCUCCUCGGUGCCUCUUGCAAUUUUCCAGCGGCGCUCCCAGGAGGGUGGAGGCGGCGGCGAGCGGGGAAGCUGGGAGAGCUCUGCAGGGCGGCCCCGCGGGGUGGUCGCGGCCAUGACAGCGGCUCAGGACAGUCUCCGGUUCCGCGCCCCUCCCGCCUGAGAUGAGUGGAAGAUGUCAGUGUCCCGGCUCAAGGCCAAACUGAAGUUGCUGGCAUCUGUCUUCCACAAGAACCAGGAGCCCGCAGCCGCCGGCUCCCGCUCCACUGUAACAUGACGAAUGGGGCAACAGAAGAAGUGACUUCAGAGGAAGAGGAAGAAAAGGAGAUGGCUAAAGACAUAGAAGACUGAGAUCACUGUGAGAUGAAAGAAGAGCCUAUUAGUGGGAAAAAGUUGGAGGAUGAAGGAACUGAAAAAGAACAUUUGGCAGUAGUAGAGAAAAUUAGGAAGACUGAAAGGCAAGACCAUUUAAAUGUGGUUGACCCUGAUAGUCCUUUGCACAGUAAUCUUCAGAUCUUAAAAGAAAAAGAAGGCUUGGGAGAUAUUUUGCUGAACUUAUCUUUGAAGGAUAACUUUCCAGUUGAUCCUCCAUUUGUUUGAGUGGUGUUACCUGUUCUCUCAGGAGGAGGAGAAAAUGCUGAAGUGACCUUUUAGUGGGCAGAUGUUGCAGGUCUCCUUUUGACAGGUUGUUACAAAGUUGAUCACAAAUAUACUAUUACGGUAUGUAUUGGGUGGAGGAGCGUUAUGUAUGGAACGCCGCACAAAACAGGGCUGAAGCAGUGCCUACUCAAUAGAAUCGGUCAUUGUGCAAAGAAAUGCCACCUGACUCAAAGGCAAAGCCAGAGUGCAGCUUGGAGCAAAGAAGUUA
Non-coding RNA from Macaca mulatta (Rhesus monkey), 1232 nucleotides. Lineage: Eukaryota; Metazoa; Chordata; Mammalia; Primates; Cercopithecidae. The record is from RefSeq and is a predicted model, not a curated record.